Arvicanthis niloticus (Nile rat) is the source of this 1110-nucleotide non-coding RNA. NCBI's taxonomy places the organism in Eukaryota, Metazoa, Chordata, Mammalia, Rodentia, Muridae. The record is from RefSeq and is a predicted model, not a curated record.
AAAUGUGUAGAGAUCUGCUUUUGUUCCCUACACUCACCCACUCAACAUUAACCUCAUACCAACCUCCCACUGCACGAGAGGGCCACAGGAAGCCCGGACAACACAGAAGAGCUAAAGGAAGCGAUAGGCUCCAGCUUGGGCCACAGGGUGGCCCCACAGCCUAUCCAGUGUACCCUAAGCAGCCAAUCACCAAGGAAACAAAGGCACUGUUCCAUGCUCUAUGGACACAGCAGUGAAGAAAAUAGACAAACCCUCUGCUCUGGUAAAGCUUCAUGAAGGAGAACAAUGGUAAACAGUAGGUGGAAGUUACGCUGUGCCAUACAGUGCAGAGAGAGUAUUGCAGCUGGUAAGCCUGUACAGCACACUAACAGUGAGUCUGAAUUGAGCACACCCCUUCCCGUGACUGCUCAGAAGUUCUGACAUCUGAGACCACAGUGGGAAGCUUGGUGAGAAUUCUACCCAUCCAUCUGCUUGGCCCUUUGCAGGUAUCGAGUUAGGGGUAUGGCAGGCCCUUCUCUCAUCCCGGUGGCACUCUGUGUACCAGAAGUGCCAAGCACCUCCUCUGCAUCUGGCACUGCCCCAUUUUCUCUGGUAGUGAAGCCUUUCCCUGGUUUUAUAGCCCUAGGUCAUUUCAGUAGGAGUUUAUGAGGCAGAAGAAUUAAACAAAUUCAUCUUGUCAUCUCUAAACUGAGUUCAAACAAACAUGGUAACUGGUAAUCAAGAGCGGUAGCCCCUAAGCCCUUGUGUUACUUUCCAUAAUUCCAGUUACCUGAAAAGAUAAAGGAAAACAUUCCAGAAAUAAAUAAUUCAUUAAUGUUAUUAUAAUAUUAUGCCAUAUUAUAUAUAUUAUUAGUUAUUAUUGCUAAUUUCAGUGAGCAUAACUUUAAAUCAAACUUCGUCACACUCAUACAUAAGAGAAAACAGAGUAGAUAAUAGAGUUUAGUACUAACCGCCAUUUCAGGCAUUUAUGGGUGUCUUGGGACACAUCCCCUGGGGAACAGGAACUAUUGUAGACAGCUAUGUUGCCUUGGGGACAUUGAGAAGCUGGAGUUUGUCUGAGGACAGAUCUGUCAAUAAAGAAUGUGUUGACGAAGGGUUCCAAAUCUCUGC